Long non-coding RNA from Oncorhynchus tshawytscha (Chinook salmon), 2284 nucleotides. The record is from Ensembl. Lineage: Eukaryota; Metazoa; Chordata; Actinopteri; Salmoniformes; Salmonidae.
CUUUUGUGGCAGUGUCACUUGAGGUAAGGCUGCUUCACUUCAACUGGGCUAGAAGAGAACAGAGUGUAUACUGUGUCCCUAUACUCUAGUUGAUGUGCUCUUGUGCCCUCUGGAGGCGUGGGAUGGGUUUACCAAAGAUGGUUCAGUACAUGCCCCAGAAGUUAUUGGUUCAGGUCUUCUGGCCCCGUUACAAUAAUACUUGAAAAGGGCAUCAUACAUUUCCCCCUUCCUUGAAAGAAUCACAUUCAUAUAAGUUCAGUUGUUAUCAUCAUAGACUGUAUUUGGUUCAUAUUCUGAUAUAUUCGAAAGAAGGGAUAUUCCUCUGCUGUGUGGUCAAUGACCCAUGUCAAUUUCCCAUGUCAAUUUCCCAUGUCAAUUUCCCAUGUCAAUGCCCCAAGUCAAUGCCCCAUGUCAAUGCCCCAUGUCAAUGCCCCAUGUCAAUGACCCAUGUCGUAGCGUCUCCCUUUCCCAAGAGGUCAGUAAUAAGAGCUGUGACUGACCAAAACAAAAUGCCUCUGCACAUCUGCUACACAUCUGCUACAAGAUCAGAGUAGUGCAGAAGGUGUCUUAAGCUGAGGCAAAGAAGACAAAACGAGGAAGAUUGGUAAGGUUGGCUCCUUAGUGUUCAUAGAGAGUGAUAGGAAUAACAAGCGUUUCAGUAAGGUUAGCUCCUUAGCGUUCAUAGCCAUGGUUAUCAACUGUAAUGGAAUCACAGAGAAUAGAUGUGUUGGCAGCUGAUGAAAAGUACUGGGGUUACGAGAUUGGACUGCAGAAGAGUUACAAGGUGUUUUGAACGAGAAGAUGUCGGCCUGGUGUAGGAUCAGAUCGGGUCAAGUAGAGGAAUAGUGGUGAGAUUUGAAUAGGUGUAGGGUUAGUUGGUAUAGUGGUGUAGGGUUAGUUGGUAUAGCAGUGAGGUUUUAAUGGGUGUAGGGUUAGUUGGUAAAGUGGUGUAGGGUUAGUUGGUAUAGUGGUGAGGUGUUAAUGGGUGUAGGGUUAGUUGGUAUAGCAGUGAGGUGUUAAUGGGUGUAGGGUUAGUUGGUAUAGCAGUGAGGUGUUAAUGGGUGUAGGGUUACUUGGUAUAGCAGUGAGGUGUUAAUGGGUGUAGGGUUAGUGUCACGCCCUGGUCAAAGUAUUUUGUGUUUUUCUUCAUGUAUUGGGUCAGGCCAGGGUGUGGCAUGGGGUUUUUGUAUUGUGGUGUGUUUUGUCUUGGGGUUUUGGUGUGUAUGUAUUGGGAUUGUAGCUAGUGGGGUUAUCUAGCAAAGUCUAUGGCUGUCUGGAGUGGUUCUCAAUCAGAGGCAGGUGUUUAUCGUUGUCUCUGAUUGGGAACCAUAUUUAGGCAGCCAUAUUCUUUGAGUUUGUUGUGGGUGAUUGUCCUAUGUGUCCUUGUUCCUGGCUCUGUGUUAGUUUACACCAGUAGAGGCUGUUUUCGUUACGCUCUUUGUUUUGUAGUGUUGAAUAUUGAUUUGUGUUUUACGUUUGUUCAUUAAACAUGGAUCGCAAUCUACACGCCGCAUUUUGGUCCGACUCUCCUUCACACCUAGAAAACCGUAACAAUUAGUUGGUAUAGUGGUGAGGUUUUAAUGGGUGUAGGGUUAGUUGGUAUAGUGGUGAGGUUUUAAUGGGUGUAGGGUUAGUUGGUAUAGUGGUGAGGUUUUAAUGGGUGUAGGGUUAGUUGGUAUAGUGGUGUAGGGUUAGUUGGUAUAGUGGUGAGGUGUUAAUGGGUGUAGGGUUAGUUGGUAUAGCAGUGAGGUUUUAAUGGGUGUAGGGUUAGUUGGUAUAGCAGUGAGGUGUUAAUGGGUGUAGGGUUAGUUGGUAUAGUGGUGUAGGGUUAGUUGGUAUAGUGGUGUGGUGUUAAUGGGUGUAGUGUUAGUUGGUAUAGUGGGGAGGUUUUAAUGGGUGUAGGGUUAGUUGGUAUAGUGGUGUAGGGUUAGUUGGUAUAGUGGUGAGGUUUUAAUGGGUGUCGGGUUAGUUGGUAUAGCAGUGAGGUUUUAAUGGGUGUAGGGUUAGUUGGUAUAGCAGUGAGGUGUUAAUGGGUGUAGGGUUAGUUGGUAUAGUGGUGUAGGGUUAGUUGGUAUAGUGGUGUAGGGUUAGUUGGUAUAGUGGUGAGGUUUUAAUGGGUGUCGGGUUAGUUGGUAUAGCAGUGAGGUUUUAAUGGGUGUAGGGUUAGUUGGUAUAGCAGUGAGGUUUUAAUGGGUGUAGGGUUAGUUGGUAUAGUGGUGUGGUGUUAAUGGGUGUAGGGUUAGUUUGUAUAGCAGUGAGGUGUUAAUGGGUGUAGGGUUAGUUG